UAGAAAUUUGAAACCGAAAUGAAGUAUAUUUCACGAGAUAUUAAGUUGUUUCAAUCGAGAAAUGGAUUUUUAUAUGACAACUAGUCCUACUAGUCCUUUUCCGCCAUAUCAGAUCAGCUUGAAUAUAAAACCCUGCUCUUUCUAACACCAGGGUUUCUUUAAUAAUCCAUAUUUUUCAUACUCUCUCAUCUCAGACAAGCAAAGUUUCUUCUUUGUUUAUUGUAAAACUUGCAAGAAACUAACACGAGGAAAAUUGCGAUGUCGAUGUUCAAAUUGCAAGGAAGGAAGCUUUGUUCUAUCACAGGGUCCAAAUGGUUGGGAUGAUGUAUUGAUCAAAGGCCGCAUGCAGGGAUAAUGUGAAUCCAAUACAAACUGUCAGGGAAAAACAGCUCUAAGUUAUUCACCUAUCACACCUAAAAUACAAUAGAAUUUUAUUUCAAAUGUGGGGAACAUCAUGGUAGAGAUGAACAGGCGCCAUUAUCAAUGUUGAAAUCUAACAUCAGAAAUAUUCCCUGCAUCACAUGCUCUGAAUCAUCGUAAGUUUACCCUUUCAUUUUAUGUCUCCUCCCAGAAAUAUUUAUGCUUCUAGAAAAGUUGAAUUUUUCAAAUCCAAACCACAGUUAAUAGAAACUAAUAACUCUGAUCCAACAUGGUCAAAAUAUUUAAUCAAAUUUUUUCACUCAUGCACCUACCUAUUGUUUGAAUUCUUUUAUUUGAUCUACAAAUCAGUAUAUGUCUGACAAUCAACUUAGAAUGCUAGUUAUGCUACAAUCUAUUUCCAUAACUUUGUGAAAAUCUUAUAGUUCAUUUCAAUUGUUCAUAAUAUGUUAGGAGUUUUCACUUAAUACCUUACAUA
This is a long non-coding RNA of Dendronephthya gigantea, 856 nucleotides long. RefSeq lists it as uncharacterized. The transcript has 3 exons. NCBI's taxonomy places the organism in Eukaryota, Metazoa, Cnidaria, Anthozoa, Malacalcyonacea, Nephtheidae. The record is from RefSeq and is a predicted model, not a curated record.